This 83-nucleotide transfer RNA is filed under the name Staphylococcus aureus. RNAcentral's name for it is "tRNA-Tyr(gta)". It matches the Rfam family "tRNA". From Rfam's summary of the family: Transfer RNA (tRNA) molecules are approximately 80 nucleotides in length. Their secondary structure includes four short double-helical elements and three loops (D, anti-codon, and T loops). Further hydrogen bonds mediate the characteristic L-shaped molecular structure. tRNAs have two regions of fundamental functional importance: the anti-codon, which is responsible for specific mRNA codon recognition, and the 3' end, to which the tRNAs corresponding amino acid is attached (by aminoacyl-tRNA synthetases). tRNAs cope with the degeneracy of the genetic code in two manners: having more than one tRNA (with a specific anti-codon) for a particular amino acid; and 'wobble' base-pairing, i.e. permitting non-standard base-pairing at the 3rd anti-codon position. The record is from RNAcentral. Lineage: Bacteria; Bacillati; Bacillota; Bacilli; Caryophanales; Staphylococcaceae.
UGGAGGGGUAGCGAAGUGGCUAAACGCGGCGGACUGUAAAUCCGCUCCUUCGGGGUCGGCAGUUCGAAUCUGCCCCCCUCCAU